Molecule: ribosomal RNA, 435 nt
Filed under: uncultured bacterium
Lineage: Bacteria
Description: bacterial SSU rRNA
Rfam family: Bacterial small subunit ribosomal RNA
Source: RNAcentral
UCGAGGAUCUUCGGCAAUGGGCGCAAGCCUGACCGAGCGACGCCGCGUGUGCGAUGAAGGCCUUCGGGUUGUAAAGCACUGUCGAGGGGGAGGAAGCUCCGCAAGGGGUUGACCUAUCCCUGGAGGAAGCACGGGCUAAGUUCGUGCCAGCAGCCGCGGUAAGACGAACCGUGCGAACGUUGUUCGGAAUCACUGGGCUUAAAGGGCGCGUAGGCGGACGACCAAGUCAGGGGUGAAAUCUUUCGGCUUAACCGGAAAACUGCCUUUGAUACUGGUCGUCUGGAGUGAGGUAGGGGCAUGUGGAACUUCCGGUGGAGCGGUGAAAUGCGUAGAUAUCGGAAGGAACACCGGUGGCGAAGGCGACGUGCUGGACCUCAACUGACGCUGAGGCGCGAAAGCCAGGGUAGCGAACGGGAUUAGAUACCCCGGUAGUCC